GGCCUGCUGGCGAAAUGGCAUCGCGUCACAUUUCGGCUUUUCUCUUAGUCAUACUGUGAAGAUUGUAGGUUCGAUCCCUACGUAGGUCG
RNAcentral lists this transfer RNA (89 nucleotides) under Colletotrichum phormii. RNAcentral's name for it is "tRNA-Arg". It matches the Rfam family "tRNA". From Rfam's summary of the family: Transfer RNA (tRNA) molecules are approximately 80 nucleotides in length. The record is from RNAcentral. Lineage: Eukaryota; Fungi; Ascomycota; Sordariomycetes; Glomerellales; Glomerellaceae.